This 448-nucleotide long non-coding RNA is filed under the name Mytilus galloprovincialis (Mediterranean mussel). The record is from RNAcentral. Lineage: Eukaryota; Metazoa; Mollusca; Bivalvia; Mytilida; Mytilidae.
GGGGGACUUUGUAUAUAAAGGACACAAUCAAAUACGUACAAAUUAGAUUAGUUGUUCUAUUUUACUCUCAAUAAUAAAAUUCCGCCUGCCACCCGCAGUAACAAGAAAAAGAGAGAGCUAAUAUCAGUCCGGAUACGGAAUAACCCUUUCCGAUUCCGGAGUGAUACAGAUACCAGACUGUGAACUAGCAACCAUUAUUUAUAACGAAAUAUGUAUAUAUAACAUCCCCGCCCCGAAAGAAAGAAAUUUUUGAAAUUUCUAAAUGGUUGCUAGUUUCACAGACGGAAUACAAUAUUGUUAUAAUCAACAUACAUAUAUUCAUAUAAUUAAGCAAUAUCAAAACAACUAAUUAAACAACUCAAACCUAAAACUUUCUCAAACAUUCGCCACUGCACCCAAACAUUCAUGUGUAACUAUCAUAUAGAGUCAAUUAGAAAAUAUUGCAAAU